GAUGAACGCUGGCGGCGUGCCUAAUACAUGCAAGUCGAGCGAACAGACGAGGAGCUUUCUCCUCUGACGUUAGCGGCGGACGGGUGAGUAACACGUGGAUAACCUACCUAUAAGACUGGGAUAACUUCGGGAAACCGGAGCUAAUACCGGAUAAUAUAUUGAACCGCAUGGUUCAAUAGUGAAAGACGGUUUUGCUGUCACUUAUAGGUGGAUCCGCGCCGCAUUAGCUAGUUGGUAAGGUAACGGCUUACCAAGGCAACGAUGCGUAGCCGACCUGAGAGGGUGAUCGGCCACACUGGAACUGAGACACGGUCCAGACUCCUACGGGAGGCAGCAGUAGGGAAUCUUCCGCAAUGGGCGAAAGCCUGACGGAGCAACACCGCGUGAGUGAUGAAGGUCUUCGGAUCGUAAAACUCUGUUAUUAGGGAAGAACAAAUGUGUAAGUAACUAUGCACGUCUUGACGGUACCUAAUCAGAAAGCCACGGCUAACUACGUG
RNAcentral lists this ribosomal RNA (497 nucleotides) under uncultured bacterium. Its description in RNAcentral is "partial 16S ribosomal RNA". It matches the Rfam family "Bacterial small subunit ribosomal RNA", at positions 28 to 507 of the family's 1533-position model. The record is from RNAcentral.